UCCUACGGGAGGCAGCAGUGGGGAAUAUUGCGCAAUGGGGGAAACCCUGACGCAGCAACGCCGCGUGAGUGAGGAAGUAUCUCGGUAUGUAAAGCUCUAUCAGCGGGGAAGAAGGAAGACGGUACCCGACUAAGAAGCCCCGGCUAACUACGUGCCAGCAGCCGCGGUAGUACGUAGGGGGCAAGCGUUAUCCGGAUUUACUGGGUGUAAAGGGAGCGUAGACGGCAGCACAAGUCUGGAGUGAAAUCCCGGGGCUUAACCCCGGAACUGCUUUGGACACUGUGCGGCUGGAGUGCAGGAGGGGG
This 305-nucleotide ribosomal RNA is filed under the name uncultured bacterium. RNAcentral's name for it is "bacterial SSU rRNA". It matches the Rfam family "Bacterial small subunit ribosomal RNA", at positions 337 to 658 of the family's 1533-position model. The record is from RNAcentral.